This 258-nucleotide long non-coding RNA is filed under the name Bos taurus (domestic cattle). Its description in RNAcentral is "long non-coding RNA NONBTAT020259". Lineage: Eukaryota; Metazoa; Chordata; Mammalia; Artiodactyla; Bovidae. The record is from RNAcentral.
CCAUCUCUGGAGCUGACAUUUCAGUGCUUCAUCUGUUUUUGUUAUCCUUUAUUUUUCAUAUUCGGUCAGUGCUUUCAAAGGUGCUUUCUCAAGUCAUGGAUAAGAAGUAAAACUCAAGGAUAAAAUAUUAAACAUUAUCUUUUACUAAUUUCAGAUGAUCAGACUGAAACAUUUGACAUUUUACAGUUUAAAUUUCUUCUUCAAGGAAUGUUUAUCCAGGGUUCCUCUAGUUUUGUUAACUAUAUUAAGGUUCAAUUG